This 1087-nucleotide long non-coding RNA is filed under the name Homo sapiens (human). RNAcentral describes it as "HSALNT0286668". The record is from RNAcentral. Lineage: Eukaryota; Metazoa; Chordata; Mammalia; Primates; Hominidae.
AAUAUAACCCAGGGAUACUAGUGAAGCACACUCAAAGGUUGCCCACGUUCAGAGUUCUUGUGGGCAUCCCUGUGGUUGAUCUAUAAGUUGUAGUGAAUCAGGGAUGGGGAUUUGGGGCAGUAAUGUCUACCACCACACUCAGCGAAACUUCCUGAUUUUUGAUGGCUUAUGAACAUAACACCAAAGAAAGGGUCAUUUCAACAUUAAAGACAAUGGCUUCUGCUGACAAAAAAAUGUAAGAAGUGUUCCUGUACCUCCUGAGCCUGAAUGGUCAGCAAGGAGCCAACCAUUUUUUUGAAUACCUGUGGCAUCCUUGAAAGAAUUUUGUUACUGUUUCUGCUGGAUCACCUCAGGGAAAAUCAGUUUUGAGGACAUGUUAAGUCAGGAGAAAGGUUACCAUUACUAAGACCCUUCCCAUCUAUAAAGAACCUUAAUCAUCACCAUCUCUCUUUCUUUUUUGUUUUUAACCACCUGACAUUUGUAUAUAUGUAAAGGAAGACCAUCUGUAAAUUUUUCCAGUUAAAGUAAACAAAAAAUUUAAUACGCAAGUACAAACCUGUGCAGUGCCCUUUAUAAGUCUUUCGAAGAAGUACUACACCCUGCCACAUCAAAUGUUGAUGAUCUGCUUGCUUAGCGGGAGGGCAUUUGCUUACUUUUUCUCUAAUUACUUUACUUCUACUCUGAUCUUGCUGUCUCAGUUCUCCUACCAGCAUUGAUACAGUAUAAAAGGGAAUAUUAAGAGUUCCAUUUAGUAAAAGGCUUCAAUCUAAAUGAGAUGAAGGGAUAUAGAAACUGUUUUUCCUCUGACUAAAGAAAAAUGAUUGGGAUGAUCUGUUAAAGUUUCGAGAAACUCAAAUAGGCCCUAUUUGCCAAUAUAGGACAGGAAACCCACAGAUUAAGUAUUGGAUAAUCUCAAAGCUCCUUUUGGCCAAUUGGUGCCAGUUUUCUCACCCACCAAUCUUUCCUCAACUGUUAAAAAAAAAAACAGGAAAUACAUUGAUUGACAUUUGUCUUCUCUUAGCUGUGCUUUGUUUCAAAGUUGAAAAACAAAGAAAAGGAGAGAAACUUACCUCCUGAGUAAUCUAAU